RNAcentral lists this ribosomal RNA (253 nucleotides) under uncultured bacterium. RNAcentral's name for it is "partial 16S ribosomal RNA". It matches the Rfam family "Bacterial small subunit ribosomal RNA", at positions 524 to 776 of the family's 1533-position model. The record is from RNAcentral.
UACAGAGGGGGCAAGCGUUGUUCGGAAUUACUGGGCGUAAAGGGCGCGUAGGCGGCCUGCUAAGUCGAACGUGAAAUCCCUGGGCUCAACCCAGGAACUGCGUCCGAUACUGGUUGGCUUGAAUCCGGGAGAGGGAUGCGGAAUUCCAGGUGUAGCGGUGAAAUGCGUAGAUAUCAAGAGGAACACCAGUGGCGAAGGCGGCCUUCUGGACAGAAACUGACGCUGAGACGCGAAAGCGUGGGGAGCAAACAGG